This 497-nucleotide ribosomal RNA is filed under the name uncultured bacterium. RNAcentral's name for it is "partial 16S ribosomal RNA". It matches the Rfam family "Bacterial small subunit ribosomal RNA", at positions 28 to 507 of the family's 1533-position model. The record is from RNAcentral.
GACGAACGCUGGCGGCGUGCCUAAUACAUGCCAGUUGAGCGCUGAAGGUUGGUACUUGUACCAACUGGAUGAGCAGCGAACGGGUGAGUAACGCGUGGGGAAUCUGCCUUUGAGCGGGGGACAACAUUUGGAAACGAAUGCUAAUACCGCAUAAAAACUUUAAACACAAGUUUUAAGUUUGAAAGAUGCAAUUGCAUCACUCAAAGAUGAUCCCGCGUUGUAUUAGCUAGUUGGUGAGGUAAAGGCUCACCAAGGCGAUGAUACAUAGCCGACCUGAGAGGGUGAUCGGCCACAUUGGGACUGAGACACGGCCCAAACUCCUACGGGAGGCAGCAGUAGGGAAUCUUCGGCAAUGGACGAAAGGCUGACCGAGCAACGCCGCGUGAGUGAAGAAGGUUUUCGGAUCGUAAAACUCUGUUGGUAGAGAAGAACGUUGGUGAGAGUGGAAAGCUCAUCAAGUGACGGUAACUACCCAGAAAGGGACGGCUAACUACGUG